Molecule: transfer RNA, 63 nt
Filed under: Pandarus rhincodonicus
Lineage: Eukaryota; Metazoa; Arthropoda; Copepoda; Siphonostomatoida; Pandaridae
Description: tRNA-Leu
Source: RNAcentral
UUCUCUCUGGCAGAUAAAGUGCACUAAAGUUAGAAUUUAGAUAUGAUGGAUUAUUGGGAGAAA